This 459-nucleotide ribosomal RNA is filed under the name uncultured bacterium. Its description in RNAcentral is "partial 16S ribosomal RNA". It matches the Rfam family "Bacterial small subunit ribosomal RNA", at positions 338 to 795 of the family's 1533-position model. The record is from RNAcentral.
CCUACGGGAGGCAGCAGUGAGGAAUAUUGGUCAAUGGCCGGAAGGCUGAACCAGCCAAGCCGCGUGAAGGACGAAGGUGCCACGCAUUGUAAACUUCUUUUGUCAAGGGACAAAAUCAGGCUCGAGAGCCUGACCGAGUGUACUUGAAGAAAAAGCAUCGGCUAACUCCGUGCCAGCAGCCGCGGUAAUACGGAGGAUGCGAGCGUUAUCCGGAUUUAUUGGGUUUAAAGGGUGCGUCGGGGGACGGUUAAGUCAGCGGUAAAAGCCCGGGGCUCAACGCCGGCGUGCCGUUGAAACUGGCGGUCUUGAGAUGUCGAGAGGUAGGCGGAAUGCGCAGUGUAGCGGUGAAAUGCUUAGAUAUUGCGCAGAACUCCGAUUGCGAAGGCAGCAUACCGGCGGCGAUCUGACGCUGAGGCACGAAAGCGUGGGUAUCGAACAGGAUUAGAUACCCUUGUAGUC